RNAcentral lists this unclassified non-coding RNA (495 nucleotides) under Hevea brasiliensis (rubber tree). The record is from RNAcentral. Lineage: Eukaryota; Viridiplantae; Streptophyta; Magnoliopsida; Malpighiales; Euphorbiaceae.
AUUUUAUUGGAUGAAAAUGAGAUACAAGGCCUAAAUCCAUUAGAAGUAAAAUAAUGCAUAACACCACCCAAUCUCAAAGGAAAAGGCCUAAACCCUUGCAAAAACAAUGAGCCCUAAACUAAAAUGGGAAUGACGUUCUUCUCUUAUGCAACAACCACCUUGACCUCUCCUCCCUUCAUCAACAUCUUCACUUGCCUCUGAAAAGGAAAGGCUUGACAGCACAACCAUGCAGAGGACCAAACGUUCACAGUGGAUGAGACUAAGGGCCAUAAUCAUGUCGGACUAAUCAGGAAAAGCUUAGCAGUGCCAGGACCUUGCAUGCUUGUGUAACCUCGACAGAGAUGGUGACCACAUUGACACUAAACUUCUAAACUGCCAGCCGAUAAUCUACUCUGAUAAACUGCAUCAAUAAGGGAGACGCCUUCAACAAGAAGAACAAUCUCGUAGAACACUAACUAAAUCCCCAUCUAAAAAGGGCACCAGAACUCCAAAGCU